UGGGGAAUAUUGCACAAUGGAGGGAACUCUGAUGCAGCGACGCCGCGUGAACGAAGAAGGCUUUCGAGUCGUAAAGUUCUUUUAUAUGGGAAGAUAAUGACGGUACCAUAAGAAAAAGCCCCGGCUAACUACGUGCCAGCAGCCGCGGUAAUACGUAGGGGGCUAGCGUUGUCCGGAAUCACUGGGCGUAAAGGGUUCGCAGGCGGAAAUGCAAGUCAGGUGUAAAAGGCAGUAGCUUAACUACUGUAAGCAUUUGAAACCGCAUAUCUUGAGAAGAGUAGAGGUAAGUGGAAUUUUUAGUGUAGCGGUGAAAUGCGUAGAUAUUAAAAAGAAUACCGGUGGCGAAGGCGACUUACUGGGCUCAUUCUGACGCUGAGGAACGAAAGCGUGGGUAGCAAACAGG
This 403-nucleotide ribosomal RNA is filed under the name bacterium. RNAcentral describes it as "partial 16S ribosomal RNA". It matches the Rfam family "Bacterial small subunit ribosomal RNA", at positions 355 to 776 of the family's 1533-position model. RNAcentral also lists the same sequence under 1 other name. The record is from RNAcentral.